RNAcentral lists this ribosomal RNA (467 nucleotides) under uncultured bacterium. RNAcentral describes it as "partial 16S ribosomal RNA". It matches the Rfam family "Bacterial small subunit ribosomal RNA", at positions 28 to 507 of the family's 1533-position model. The record is from RNAcentral.
GACGAGCGCUGGCGGCGUGCUUAACACAUGCAAGUCGAACGAUGACGACCGAGCUUGCUCGGUCUGAUUAGUGGCGAACGGGUGAGUAACACGUGAGCAACCUGCCCUUCACUCUGGGAUAACCUCGGGAAAUCGGGGCUAAUACCGGAUAUGAGCUCCUGUCGCAUGGCGGGUGUUGGAAAGUUUUUCGGUGAAGGAUGGGCUCGCGGCCUAUCAGUUUGUUGGUGAGGUAGUGGCUCACCAAGGCGAUGACGGGUAGCCGGCCUGAGAGGGCGACCGGCCACACUGGGACUGAGACACGGCCCAGACUCCUACGGGAGGCAGCAGUGGGGAAUAUUGCACAAUGGGCGAAAGCCUGAUGCAGCGACGCCGCGUGAGGGAUGACGGCCUUCGGGUUGUAAACCUCUUUCAGCAGGGAAGAAGCGAAAGUGACGGUACCUGCAGAAGAAGCGCCGGCUAACUACGUG